GACGAACGCUGGCGGCGUGCUUAACACAUGCAAGUCGAGCGGAAAGGCUCCAGCUUGCUGGAGUACUCGAGUGGCGAACGGGUGAGUAACACGUGGGCAAUCUGCCCUGCACUCUGGGAUAAGCCUGGGAAACUGGGUCUAAUACUGGAUAUGACGUUUCUCCUUAUGGGGUUUGGUGGAAAGUUUUUCGGUGUAGGAUGAGCCCGCGGCCUCUCAGCUUGUUGGUGGGGUGAUGGCCUACCAAGGCGACGACGGGUAGCCGGCCUGAGAGGGUGAUCGGGCACAUUGGGACUGAGAUACGGCCCAGACUCCUACGGGAGGCAGCAGUGGGGAAUAUUGCACAAUGGGCGGAAGCCUGAUGCAGCGACGCCGCGUGAGGGAUGACGGCCUUCGGGUUGUAAACCUCUUUCAGCAGGGACGAAGCGUAAGUGACGGUACCUGCAGAAGAAGCACCAGCUAACUACGUGCCAGCCGCCGCAGUAA
RNAcentral lists this ribosomal RNA (483 nucleotides) under uncultured bacterium. RNAcentral's name for it is "partial 16S ribosomal RNA". It matches the Rfam family "Bacterial small subunit ribosomal RNA", at positions 28 to 523 of the family's 1533-position model. The record is from RNAcentral.